AGUGAACGCUGGCGGUAGGCCUAACACAUGCAAGUCGAACGGCAGCACAGUAAGAGCUUGCUCUUACGGGUGGCGAGUGGCGGACGGGUGAGGAAUACAUCGGAAUCUACUUUUUCGUGGGGGAUAACGUAGGGAAACUUACGCUAAUACCGCAUACGACCUACGGGUGAAAGCAGGGGAUCUUCGGACCUUGCGCGAUUGAAUGAGCCGAUGUCGGAUUAGCUAGUUGGCGGGGUAAAGGCCCACCAAGGCGACGAUCCGUAGCUGGUCUGAGAGGAUGAUCAGCCACACUGGAACGGGGACACGGUCCAGGCUCCUGCGGGAGGCAGCAGUGGGGAAUAUGGGACAAUGGGCGCAAGCCUGAUCCAGCCAGACCGCGUGGGUGAAGAAAGCCUUCGGGUUGUAAAGCCCUUUUGUUGGGAAAGAAAAGCAGCAGGUUAAUACCCCGCUAUUCUGACGGUACCCAAAGAAUAAGCACCGGCUAACUUCGUG
This 492-nucleotide ribosomal RNA is filed under the name uncultured bacterium. Its description in RNAcentral is "partial 16S ribosomal RNA". It matches the Rfam family "Bacterial small subunit ribosomal RNA", at positions 29 to 507 of the family's 1533-position model. The record is from RNAcentral.